This is a long non-coding RNA of Dreissena polymorpha, 1354 nucleotides long. RefSeq lists it as uncharacterized. The record is from RefSeq and is a predicted model, not a curated record. The transcript is spliced from 3 exons. Lineage: Eukaryota; Metazoa; Mollusca; Bivalvia; Myida; Dreissenidae.
AGAAUAUAUGGUUGGUGACUUUUGAUAUCAUGUGAUAUAAGACGAGUCUGAUAUGGCGUAGGAAAAGGCGAGGCUUGCCGAGCCUUUUCACACGCCAUAUCGGACGAGUCUUAUAUCACAUGAUAUCAAAAGUCACCAACCAUAUAUUCUAUUUAUUAUGCCACAUUUUAAAGUAAAUAAGAAAAUAUUCACAAAACAAACAAAAACAAACAACCGCUAAAUUCAUUGAUGUAGAUACGGUAAUAAAUAUGCAAAUUAGUAGCAACCUGAUUACAUCCGCUAGCGUCUAUGCAUAUAUAUUUACACAUAAAAAAAUAGUUCGAAAGUAAGCAACAAACAAUCAAAUUUAAACGCACAUACUACAAAAAUUGAAGCGAGAAAUCGAAACUUAAAAGAACAAUUUCUGCACUAAAAACACAAUACCAAUAUUUUUUACAAUAACACAUUCGACAUGUACUUCCAAGAGUACACACCAACCGCUAUUUUCAAAGCGAAUGUGUAGAGUGAAAAUUUCAAACAAUAAAUACAAUAAUCAAAUGGAACGGGAUUUUAACGUAGUGCGCAAUUUGGAAGUGAUAAGAGUGAUUUAUUUUUCAACUUGUCCAUCUCCGUAAUAUACGUUUAGUUGUGAGAUGUUAACAGUUUUCCAAAAAAAAAACAGGCCUUCACGUGCGAAGUCAAAGUGGGUGGGGAACGCGACUACUUGUGUAUUUCGAGUCGCUGGAACUUCAUAAUGAAGCUGCUUUUGUGCAAUAUUCAGCGACGUUACCAGCUGUGUGUUAGACGAAACGAAAAUGCUUUGGUUUUGCAUCGUGUUUUGAGACUGUCAGGGUGACAUGAUGGAUUAAUUGCUGUUUGACUGAAAAUUAAUGAACAUGUUUGUGUUUGGAGAUUGCUGAGGUUAAUAUCUUUACAAUUGGGAAAUCCCAACAUAAGUUGACUGCCAGUUUGACCACUGAUCUGCAUAAUAACAGUGGGAGAGCAUGCUGAAUCCCGCAGCUUCUGCACCAUAUGUUUCCUGGCCGAGUGGUUGAAAGUUGCGACCACACAUUCCAUGGGUGAUGAUAUCUACCAAAAUUCUUGGCGGCACAGUUCUACCCUCGUCAGUUGCACUUGUCCGAGUCUUUCUCUGCCUCUCAACCAACUCGAGAUAUUCCCCCCCCCCCAACUGCACCCCGGCACAGCUUCACAUCAACCCAUCUAAUUAAUUUGUCGGAAAGGUUGACUACACAAAUUUCCUGUUUGGUUGUGGAGAUAGAAUCUUUUUUUUGUGAAAGUUUGAUUUCAGACACUUUAAAAUUGAAAUGGUCAUGUAUUAUUAGGCAUGGCAGGCAUUAGCAAAGCAUCUCAAUCA